UGGGGAAUUUUCCGCAAUGGGCGAAAGCCUGACGGAGCAACGCCGCGUGGGGGAGGAAGGCUUUUGGGUUGUAAACCCCUUUUCUCAGGGAAGAAGCCCUGACGGUACCUGAGGAAUCAGCAUCGGCUAACUCCGUGCCAGCAGCCGCGGUAAUACGGAGGAUGCAAGCGUUAUCCGGAAUUAUUGGGCGUAAAGCGUCCGCAGGUGGAGCGUCAAGUCUGCUGUCAAAGACCGGAGCUUAACUCCGGGCAGGCAGUGGAAACUGGCGAACUAGAGUACGGUAGGGGUAGAGGGAAUUCCCAGUGUAGCGGUGAAAUGCGUAGAGAUUGGGAAGAACACCAGUGGCGAAGGCGCUCUACUGGGCCGUAACUGACACUCAGGGACGAAAGCUAGGGGAGCGAAAGGGAUUAGAUACCCCCGUAGUCC
Molecule: ribosomal RNA, 426 nt
Filed under: uncultured prokaryote
Description: bacterial SSU rRNA
Rfam family: Bacterial small subunit ribosomal RNA
Source: RNAcentral